This 473-nucleotide unclassified non-coding RNA is filed under the name uncultured bacterium. RNAcentral's name for it is "16S-23S ribosomal RNA intergenic spacer". The stretch from base 110 to 183 matches the Rfam family "tRNA". The record is from RNAcentral.
CAAGAAAUGACGGCGUGGUUCUUUCACGCAAGACGUCCACACAAGACACCUGUACUUCACGUAGUAAUUCAAGCCUCCAGACAGGCGUGGGUUCUGGGGCUCGAUCUCUGGGUCUGUAGCUCAGGUGGUUAGAGCGCACCCCUGAUAAGGGUGAGGCCGGUGGUUCGAGUCCACCCAGACCCACCAUUACCAAGUUUCCUUGGGGCCUUAGCUCAGCUGGGAGAGCACUUGCUUUGCAAGCAGGGGGCCGUCGGUUCGAUCCCGACAGGCUCCACCAAGGUUUGAGUCAUAUCGUGAAGUAUCAGCACACACAAGAUUUUUGAAAUCACCCGGCAUUGAGGCCGGUGUGAUGUUCUUUGAAAACAAAGUAAACGAGUGACAAGCGUCUUGGUUCGAACCGAACCGAGACAAGUGUUAAGGCAAGUAACGAAGUGGUUUGGAGAUGUAAUCCUGAGGCGACUUGGGGUUAUAUG